This 65-nucleotide transfer RNA is filed under the name Ishiharodelphax matsuyamensis. Its description in RNAcentral is "tRNA-Cys". The record is from RNAcentral. Lineage: Eukaryota; Metazoa; Arthropoda; Insecta; Hemiptera; Delphacidae.
UGUCUUAUAUUCUAUAUGGUGAUUUUAAAUUGCAAAUUUAAAGGGGAAAAUUAAUUCUAAGGCUU